UACGUAGGCGGAAUAUUAAGUCAGUGGUGAGAUCCUGCGGCUCAACCGUAGAACUGCCAUUGAUACUGAUAUUCUUGAAUAUAGUUGAGGUAGGCGGAAUGUGUAAUGUAGCGGUGAAAUGCUUAGAUAUUACACAGAACACCGAUUGCGAAGGCAGCUUACUAAGCUAUGAUUGACGCUGAGGUACGAAAGCGUGGGGAGCGAACAGGAUUAGAUACCCUGGUAGUCC
Molecule: ribosomal RNA, 229 nt
Filed under: uncultured bacterium
Lineage: Bacteria
Description: partial 16S ribosomal RNA
Rfam family: Bacterial small subunit ribosomal RNA
Source: RNAcentral